This 425-nucleotide ribosomal RNA is filed under the name uncultured bacterium. RNAcentral's name for it is "partial 16S ribosomal RNA". It matches the Rfam family "Bacterial small subunit ribosomal RNA", at positions 354 to 796 of the family's 1533-position model. The record is from RNAcentral.
GUGGGGAAUCUUGCGCAAUGGGCGAAAGCCUGACGCAGCCAUGCCGCGUGAAUGAUGAAGGUCUUAGGAUUGUAAAAUUCUUUCACCGGGGACGAUAAUGACGGUACCCGGAGAAGAAGCUCCGGCUAACUUCGUGCCAGCAGCCGCGGUAAUACGGAGGGUGCAAGCGUUGUUCGGAAUUAUUGGGCGUAAAGGACGCGUAGGCGGUAAUGAAAGUCAGGUGUGAAAUACUUUGGCUCAACUGAAGAACUGCAUCUGAAACUUCAUAACUAGAGUACAGAAGAGGGAAACGGAAUUCCCGGUGUAGAGGUGAAAUUCGUAGAUAUCGGGAGGAACACCAGUGGCGAAGGCGGUUUCCUGGUCUGAUACUGACGCUGAGGCGUGAAAGUGUGGGGAGCAAACAGGAUUAGAUACCCUUGUAGUCC